This 244-nucleotide long non-coding RNA is filed under the name Setaria viridis. RNAcentral describes it as "long non-coding RNA (SVIR_LNC001786)". Lineage: Eukaryota; Viridiplantae; Streptophyta; Magnoliopsida; Poales; Poaceae. The record is from RNAcentral.
GGGUUGAGAGUGAGCGCCUUGCAUUAGCUACAUCCUAAUAGUUGUAGGGUUUUUAUUUCUUCACCUAUUUUCUUAUUGUCUUUGUUCAUCUAAUCGUGACAGGAUCAGAGGAUAGUCAGACUAUGCCACAUUCUCCUCGUACUAAGGGCACCAUACAACAUUUUGAACUAGUGAAGGGGCACGUGGAAGGGCUUGAUCAUGAUUUGCAGGUGACGAAUGAGAAGAUUGGGCAGUUGGAGGCCAC